GUGCUCGCUUCGGCAGCACACAUACUAAAAUUGGAACGAU
This 40-nucleotide small nuclear RNA is filed under the name Cervus elaphus hippelaphus. The record is from RNAcentral. Lineage: Eukaryota; Metazoa; Chordata; Mammalia; Artiodactyla; Cervidae.